RNAcentral lists this ribosomal RNA (551 nucleotides) under Trichinella spiralis. RNAcentral describes it as "partial large subunit ribosomal RNA". It matches the Rfam family "Eukaryotic large subunit ribosomal RNA", at positions 1342 to 1750 of the family's 3401-position model. Lineage: Eukaryota; Metazoa; Nematoda; Enoplea; Trichinellida; Trichinellidae. The record is from RNAcentral.
UCACGCACUUUUUUUUCGGAAAAGGUGUAAUGAACGUUGAGACGGGUAGGAAGGUCGCGACAGUGUUGCUUUGAAGAGUUUUGAGCGUGAGCUCGCUCGGAGCCGCUGUUGGUGCAGAUCUUGGUGGUAGUAGCAAAUAUUCAAGUGAGAACCUUGAAGGCUGAAGUGGAGCAAGGUUCCAUGUGAACAGCAGUUGGACAUGGGUCAGUCGAUCCUAAGAAAACGGCGAAAGCUUGUUCGAAUUUGCGACAUGAAUUGUAAGACUGAAUAAUUAUUUGUGUGUGUGUUGUGGUGGAGGCGAUUGUGUCGUCACCAGUUGUUGUUGUGUGCAGUUGUCGUAUGUUUUCGAAAGGGAAUCCGGUUGAUAUUCCGGAACCGAGUAACGGAGACAAAGAGUAGCGCUUUAAUCUCUCUGUGGGGUUGGCGUUCAACUCAAUCGCGCGGUAACGCAAGCGAACUCGGAAAAUGACCGUCGUGAGUUUCGAAAAGAGUUUUCUUUUCUUUUUAAGGGACGCAUUCCCUGGAACCGGGUUGUCCGGAGAUAGGGAUUC